RNAcentral lists this ribosomal RNA (256 nucleotides) under uncultured bacterium. Its description in RNAcentral is "partial 16S ribosomal RNA". It matches the Rfam family "Bacterial small subunit ribosomal RNA", at positions 524 to 776 of the family's 1533-position model. The record is from RNAcentral.
UACGUAGGGUGCAAGCGUUAAUCGGAAUUACUGGGCGUAAAGCGCGCGUUAGGUGGUUUGUUAAGUUGGAUGAUCGAAAUCCCCGGGCUCAACCUGGGAACUGCAUUCAAAACUGACAAGCUAGAGUAUGGUAGAGGGUGGUGGAAUUUCCUGUGUAAGCGGUGAAAUCGUAGAUAUAGGAAGGAACACCAGUGGCGAAGGCGACCACCUGGACUGAUACUGACACUGAGGUGCGAAAGCGUGGGGAGCAAACAGG